UUUGGUGAUGAUGGCAGAGAGGUCACACCCGUUCCCAUACCGAACACGGAAGUUAAGCUCUCUAGCGCCGAUGGUAGUUGGGACCUUGUC
RNAcentral lists this ribosomal RNA (90 nucleotides) under Bacillus cereus. The record is from RNAcentral. RNAcentral also lists the same sequence under 7 other names. Lineage: Bacteria; Bacillati; Bacillota; Bacilli; Caryophanales; Bacillaceae.